Molecule: small nucleolar RNA, 103 nt
Organism: Sander lucioperca (pikeperch)
Lineage: Eukaryota; Metazoa; Chordata; Actinopteri; Perciformes; Percidae
Source: Ensembl
CAUGCCCCUUGAGGCGUUGCAGUCCAACAUUUUGUUGAGCCUGUGUCAUUAGGUGGCAGAGAAUAAAAGGUCUACAUCAUCAUCUGCAUUCAGUACCUACAAC